Molecule: ribosomal RNA, 253 nt
Filed under: uncultured bacterium
Lineage: Bacteria
Description: partial 16S ribosomal RNA
Rfam family: Bacterial small subunit ribosomal RNA
Source: RNAcentral
UACGUAGGGUGCAAGCGUUGUCCGGAAUUAUUGGGCGUAAAGAGCUCGUAGGCGGUCUGUCGCGUCGGAUGUGAAAAUCCAGGGCUCAACCCUGGACCUGCAUUCGAUACGGGCAGACUAGAGUUCGGCAGGGGAGACUGGAAUUCCUGGUGUAGCGGUGAAAUGCGCAGAUAUCUGGAGGAAUACCGGUGGCGAAGGCGGCCCCCUGGACAAAGACUGACGCUCAGGUGCGAAAGCGUGGGGAGCAAACAGG